AAGUAAAAGUCGUAACAAGGUCUCCGUUGGUGAACCAGCGGAGGGAUCAUUG
RNAcentral lists this ribosomal RNA (52 nucleotides) under Diaporthe phaseolorum. Its description in RNAcentral is "partial 18S ribosomal RNA". It matches the Rfam family "Eukaryotic small subunit ribosomal RNA", at positions 1780 to 1831 of the family's 1831-position model. The record is from RNAcentral. Lineage: Eukaryota; Fungi; Ascomycota; Sordariomycetes; Diaporthales; Diaporthaceae.